This 1391-nucleotide ribosomal RNA is filed under the name Enterococcus durans. RNAcentral's name for it is "bacterial SSU rRNA". It matches the Rfam family "Bacterial small subunit ribosomal RNA", at positions 69 to 1433 of the family's 1533-position model. The record is from RNAcentral. Lineage: Bacteria; Bacillati; Bacillota; Bacilli; Lactobacillales; Enterococcaceae.
CUUCUUUUUCACCGGAGCUUGCUCCACCGGAAAAAGAAGAGUGGCGAACGGGUGAGUAACACGUGGGUAACCUGCCCAUCAGAAGGGGAUAACACUUGGAAACAGGUGCUAAUACCGUAUAACAAUCGAAACCGCAUGGUUUUGAUUUGAAAGGCGCUUUCGGGUGUCGCUGAUGGAUGGACCCGCGGUGCAUUAGCUAGUUGGUGAGGUAACGGCUCACCAAGGCCACGAUGCAUAGCCGACCUGAGAGGGUGAUCGGCCACAUUGGGACUGAGACACGGCCCAAACUCCUACGGGAGGCAGCAGUAGGGAAUCUUCGGCAAUGGACGAAAGUCUGACCGAGCAACGCCGCGUGAGUGAAGAAGGUUUUCGGAUCGUAAAACUCUGUUGUUAGAGAAGAACAAGGAUGAGAGUAACUGUUCAUCCCUUGACGGUAUCUAACCAGAAAGCCACGGCUAACUACGUGCCAGCAGCCGCGGUAAUACGUAGGUGGCAAGCGUUGUCCGGAUUUAUUGGGCGUAAAGCGAGCGCAGGCGGUUUCUUAAGUCUGAUGUGAAAGCCCCCGGCUCAACCGGGGAGGGUCAUUGGAAACUGGGAGACUUGAGUGCAGAAGAGGAGAGUGGAAUUCCAUGUGUAGCGGUGAAAUGCGUAGAUAUAUGGAGGAACACCAGUGGCGAAGGCGGCUCUCUGGUCUGUAACUGACGCUGAGGCUCGAAAGCGUGGGGAGCAAACAGGAUUAGAUACCCUGGUAGUCCACGCCGUAAACGAUGAGUGCUAAGUGUUGGAGGGUUUCCGCCCUUCAGUGCUGCAGCUAACGCAUUAAGCACUCCGCCUGGGGAGUACGACCGCAAGGUUGAAACUCAAAGGAAUUGACGGGGGCCCGCACAAGCGGUGGAGCAUGUGGUUUAAUUCGAAGCAACGCGAAGAACCUUACCAGGUCUUGACAUCCUUUGACCACUCUAGAGAUAGAGCUUCCCCUUCGGGGGCAAAGUGACAGGUGGUGCAUGGUUGUCGUCAGCUCGUGUCGUGAGAUGUUGGGUUAAGUCCCGCAACGAGCGCAACCCUUAUUGUUAGUUGCCAUCAUUUAGUUGGGCACUCUAGCAAGACUGCCGGUGACAAACCGGAGGAAGGUGGGGAUGACGUCAAAUCAUCAUGCCCCUUAUGACCUGGGCUACACACGUGCUACAAUGGGAAGUACAACGAGUCGCGAAGUCGCGAGGCUAAGCUAAUCUCUUAAAGCUUCUCUCAGUUCGGAUUGUAGGCUGCAACUCGCCUACAUGAAGCCGGAAUCGCUAGUAAUCGCGGAUCAGCACGCCGCGGUGAAUACGUUCCCGGGCCUUGUACACACCGCCCGUCACACCACGAGAGUUUGUAACACCCGAAGUCGGGAG